CCAUCAGAGCUAGAAGGGAACUUGGUAGACAUGCAAAUUCUUGGUCCCCACCUCAGAUCUACUGAAUCA
Molecule: non-coding RNA, 69 nt
Organism: Vicugna pacos (alpaca)
Lineage: Eukaryota; Metazoa; Chordata; Mammalia; Artiodactyla; Camelidae
Source: RefSeq, a predicted model, not a curated record